UACGUAGGCAGCGAGCGGUGUUCGGAGUUACUGGGCGUAAAGGGUGUGUAGGCGGUGUGUCGCGUCGGCCGUGAAAACCUGCAGCUUAACUGUGGGCGUGCGGUCGAUACGGGCAUCACUGGAGUUCGGCAGGGGAGACUGGAAUUCCUGGUGUAGCGGUGAAAUGCGCAGAUAUCAGGAGGAACACCGGUGGCGAAGGCGGGUCUCUGGGCCGAUACUGACGCUGAGGAGCGAAAGCGUGGGGAGCGAACAGG
RNAcentral lists this ribosomal RNA (254 nucleotides) under uncultured bacterium. RNAcentral describes it as "partial 16S ribosomal RNA". It matches the Rfam family "Bacterial small subunit ribosomal RNA", at positions 524 to 776 of the family's 1533-position model. The record is from RNAcentral.